Molecule: ribosomal RNA, 435 nt
Filed under: uncultured Flavobacterium sp.
Lineage: Bacteria; Pseudomonadati; Bacteroidota; Flavobacteriia; Flavobacteriales; Flavobacteriaceae
Description: bacterial SSU rRNA
Rfam family: Bacterial small subunit ribosomal RNA
Source: RNAcentral
GGAAUAUUGGUCAAUGGAGGCAACUCUGAACCAGCCAUGCCGCGUGCAGGAUGACGGUCCUAUGGAUUGUAAACUGCUUUUGUACAGGAAGAAACCGCUCUACGUGUAGAGCCUUGACGGUACUGUAAGAAUAAGGAUCGGCUAACUCCGUGCCAGCAGCCGCGGUAAUACGGAGGAUCCAAGCGUUAUCCGGAAUCAUUGGGUUUAAAGGGUCCGUAGGCGGCUUAGCAAGUCAGUGGUGAAAUCUCCCCGCUCAACGGGGAAACGGCCAUUGAUACUACUAGGCUUGAAUUAUUAGGAAGUAACUAGAAUAUGUAGUGUAGCGGUGAAAUGCUUAGAUAUUACAUGGAAUACCAAUUGCGAAGGCAGGUUACUACUAAUUGAUUGACGCUGAUGGACGAAAGCGUGGGGAGCGAACAGGAUUAGAUACCCCAG